This 112-nucleotide small nucleolar RNA is filed under the name Carlito syrichta (Philippine tarsier). RNAcentral's name for it is "Small nucleolar RNA SNORA31 (ENSTSYG00000025349.2)". Lineage: Eukaryota; Metazoa; Chordata; Mammalia; Primates; Tarsiidae. The record is from RNAcentral.
GUGUGUCUAUUUGAUAGGCCAGGAGGUUUCCACUACAUAUGCACACACAAAAAAGUGCCCUUGUACUUUCUGUCUGAUUGUGGCAGCCAAGAUUGAGUAAAGGAAUACAGUU